AGUUCGCUAACGCGUGAAGGCGAGCACUCUAGACGAACUGCCGUUGACAAAACGGAGGAAGGUGGGAUGACGUCAAAUCAUCAUGCCCCUUAUGUUCUGGGCUACACACGUGCUACAAUGGCCGGUACAGACGGACGCAAAGCCGCGAGGUGGAGCAAAUCCUAAAAAGCCGGUCUCAGUUCGGAUUGCAGGCUGCAAUUCGCCUGCAUGAAGUCGGAAUCGCUAGUAAUCGCAGGUCAGCAUACUGCGGUGAAUACGUUCCCGGGCCUU
Molecule: ribosomal RNA, 270 nt
Filed under: uncultured Bacillus sp.
Lineage: Bacteria; Bacillati; Bacillota; Bacilli; Caryophanales; Bacillaceae
Description: partial 16S ribosomal RNA
Rfam family: Bacterial small subunit ribosomal RNA
Source: RNAcentral